GUCAGGCGGGGCCACCCGCCGAGUUUAAGCAUAUAAAUAAGCGGAGGAGAAGAAACUUACGAGGAUUCCCCUAGUAACGGCGAGCGAACCGGGAUCAGCCCAGCUUGAGAAUCGGGCGGCCGCGCCGUCCGAAUUGUAGUCUGGAGAAGCGUCCUCAGCGACGGACCGGGCCCAAGUCCCCUGGAAAGGGGCGCCGGGGAGGGUG
Molecule: ribosomal RNA, 205 nt
Filed under: Heliconia zebrina
Lineage: Eukaryota; Viridiplantae; Streptophyta; Magnoliopsida; Zingiberales; Heliconiaceae
Description: partial 26S ribosomal RNA
Rfam family: Eukaryotic large subunit ribosomal RNA
Source: RNAcentral